Molecule: transfer RNA, 73 nt
Filed under: Ailuropoda melanoleuca (giant panda)
Lineage: Eukaryota; Metazoa; Chordata; Mammalia; Carnivora; Ursidae
Rfam family: tRNA
About the family: Transfer RNA (tRNA) molecules are approximately 80 nucleotides in length. Their secondary structure includes four short double-helical elements and three loops (D, anti-codon, and T loops). Further hydrogen bonds mediate the characteristic L-shaped molecular structure. tRNAs have two regions of fundamental functional importance: the anti-codon, which is responsible for specific mRNA codon recognition, and the 3' end, to which the tRNAs corresponding amino acid is attached (by aminoacyl-tRNA synthetases). tRNAs cope with the degeneracy of the genetic code in two manners: having more than one tRNA (with a specific anti-codon) for a particular amino acid; and 'wobble' base-pairing, i.e. permitting non-standard base-pairing at the 3rd anti-codon position.
Source: Rfam by way of RNAcentral
GCCUGGCUGGCUCAGUUGGUAGAGUAUUGGACUCUUGAUCUCAGGGUUGUGAGUUUAAGUCCCACGCUGGAUG